UUUCCCUCAGGAUAGCUGGCACUCGCUUGAGCGAGUCUCAUCUGGUAAAGCGAAUGAUUAGAGGCCUUGGGGCCGAAACGACCUCAACCUAUUCUCAAACUUUAAAUGGGUGAGAUCUCUGGCUUGCUUGAACGUUGAAGCCACGAGAGAGAUAUAUGAUUAAAAAUAUGGAUCAGAGUGCCAAGUGGGCCAAUUUUGGUAAGCAGAACUGGCGCUGUGGGA
This 222-nucleotide ribosomal RNA is filed under the name Hetreulophus sp. D1450. RNAcentral's name for it is "partial 28S ribosomal RNA". It matches the Rfam family "Eukaryotic large subunit ribosomal RNA", at positions 967 to 1163 of the family's 3401-position model. Lineage: Eukaryota; Metazoa; Arthropoda; Insecta; Hymenoptera; Hetreulophidae. The record is from RNAcentral.